AGAAACUGACUUUGCAAUUUUGGUGGAAGACUCAAGGUAUUUGCAGGGACAAAAGUGGGGAACGGAGGUGGAGGCAGCCCACUGGCCCAAGCUUGGUACAUUUCCAUCAUUUGUUGUCUCAGUCUCAAAUUCUCUUCCUUUAAACUCUCAAUUUCCUAACUCUUUGUUUCAUCCAUGAUGUCACUCUCUAUAUCCUUGUUGGACACAACUAACCCUUCCUUGGAUUUGGUGUGAUGUGGAGGACCAGCCAGGAAGCCACAAACCAACCACCUUAAACUAACUGAACAAGAGGUAACAAAUAUGUUAGAGUUCAACAUUUUUUCUUCAAAAUCCC
RNAcentral lists this long non-coding RNA (334 nucleotides) under Capsicum annuum. Its description in RNAcentral is "long non-coding RNA (CANN_LNC000385)". Lineage: Eukaryota; Viridiplantae; Streptophyta; Magnoliopsida; Solanales; Solanaceae. The record is from RNAcentral.